GUUUGAUCCUGGCUCAGGACGAACGCUGGCGGCGUGCCUAAUACAUGCAAGUCGAGCGGACAGAAGGGAGCUUGCUCCCGGAUGUUAGCGGCGGACGGGUGAGUAACACGUGGGUAACCUGCCUGUAAGACUGGGAUAACUCCGGGAAACCGGAGCUAAUACCGGAUAGUUCCUUGAACCGCAUGGUUCAAGGAUGAAAGACGGUUUCGGCUGUCACUUACAGAUGGACCCGCGGCGCAUUAGCUAGUUGGUGGGGUAAUGGCUCACCAAGGCGACGAUGCGUAGCCGACCUGAGAGGGUGAUCGGCCACACUGGGACUGAGACACGGCCCAGACUCCUACGGGAGGCAGCAGUAGGGAAUCUUCCGCAAUGGACGAAAGUCUGACGGAGCAACGCCGCGUGAGUGAUGAAGGUUUUCGGAUCGUAAAGCUCUGUUGUUAGGGAAGAACAAGUGCGAGAGUAACUGCUCGCACCUUGACGGUACCUAACCAGAAAGCCACGGCUAACUACGUGCCAGCAGCCGCGGUAAUACGUAGGUGGCAAGCGUUGUCCGGAAUUAUUGGGCGUAAAGGGCUCGCAGGCGGUUUCUUAAGUCUGAUGUGAAAGCCCCCGGCUCAACCGGGGAGGGUCAUUGGAAACUGGGAAACUUGAGUGCAGAAGAGGAGAGUGGAAUUCCACGUGUAGCGGUGAAAUGCGUAGAGAUGUGGAGGAACACCAGUGGCGAAGGCGACUCUCUGGUCUGUAACUGACGCUGAGGAGCGAAAGCGUGGGGAGCGAACAGGAUUAGAUACCCUGGUAGUCCACGCCGUAAACGAUGAGUGCUAAGUGUUAGGGGGUUUCCGCCCCUUAGUGCUGCAGCUAACGCAUUAAGCACUCCGCC
This 880-nucleotide ribosomal RNA is filed under the name Bacillus sp. RKEM 730. Its description in RNAcentral is "bacterial SSU rRNA". It matches the Rfam family "Bacterial small subunit ribosomal RNA", at positions 11 to 873 of the family's 1533-position model. Lineage: Bacteria; Bacillati; Bacillota; Bacilli; Caryophanales; Bacillaceae. The record is from RNAcentral.